GACGAACGCUGGCGGCGUGCUUAACACAUGCAAGUCGAACGGAAAGGCCUGCUUUCCCUUGUGGAUUGCGGGUACUCGCGUGGCGAACGGGUGAGUAACACGUGAGUGAUCUGCCCCCAACUUGGGUAUAAGCCUGGGAAACUGGGUCUAAUUCCCGAUAGGACUGCAGGGUGGUGCCUGUGGUGGAAAACGAUUUUCUAGUGGUUGGGGAUGAGCUCGCGGCCUAUCAGCUUGUUGGUGGGGUAAUGGCCUACCAAGGCGGCGACGGGUAGCCGGCCUGAGAGGGUGGACGGCCACAGUGGGACUGAGAUACGGCCCAGACUCCUACGGGAGGCAGCAGUGGGGAAUAUUGCACAAUGGGCGGAAGCCUGAUGCAGCGACGCCGCGUGGGGGAUGACGGCCCUCGGGUUGUAAACUCCUUUCGACCGCGAGGAAGCCACCUGGUUGGAAGGGUGGUGACGGUAGUGGUAGAAGAAGCACCGGCUAACUACGUG
This 494-nucleotide ribosomal RNA is filed under the name uncultured bacterium. RNAcentral describes it as "partial 16S ribosomal RNA". It matches the Rfam family "Bacterial small subunit ribosomal RNA", at positions 28 to 507 of the family's 1533-position model. The record is from RNAcentral.